UGGGUGUGAAUUUUAGGACAAGUAUCCAAAAUAAAUUCAUAUCGUAAACGCAUAAUAAUAUGCUCUAUUCUGAAUCCGAUCUAAUAUAACCUUAAUAUAUAUCUUUCUUUCAAAAUUCUAAUUAUUUUAUAAUAUUUAUAUAUAUCCAAUCCGAUCCGACCCAAUUCACAUCUCUACUUGAGCCGACCUAAUCUGACCCA
This 200-nucleotide long non-coding RNA is filed under the name Elaeis guineensis (African oil palm). Its description in RNAcentral is "long non-coding RNA (EGUI_LNC010556)". Lineage: Eukaryota; Viridiplantae; Streptophyta; Magnoliopsida; Arecales; Arecaceae. The record is from RNAcentral.